RNAcentral lists this ribosomal RNA (2505 nucleotides) under Campylobacter jejuni. Its description in RNAcentral is "partial 23S ribosomal RNA". It matches the Rfam family "Bacterial large subunit ribosomal RNA", at positions 582 to 2925 of the family's 2925-position model. The record is from RNAcentral. Lineage: Bacteria; Pseudomonadati; Campylobacterota; Epsilonproteobacteria; Campylobacterales; Campylobacteraceae.
CUAUGUAGCAAUACAGGGUGAUGGACUGCCUUUUGCAUAAUGAGCCUGCGAGUUGUGGUGUCUGGCAAGGUUAAGCAAACGCGAAGCCGUAGCGAAAGCGAGUCUGAAUAGGGCGCUUAGUCAGAUGCUGCAGACCCGAAACGAAGUGAUCUAUCCAUGAGCAAGUUGAAGCUAGUGUAAGAACUAGUGGAGGACUGAACCCAUAGGCGUUGAAAAGCCCCGGGAUGACUUGUGGAUAGGGGUGAAAGGCCAAUCAAACUUCGUGAUAGCUGGUUCUCUCCGAAAUAUAUUUAGGUAUAGCGUUGUGUCGUAAUAUAAGGGGGUAGAGCACUGAAUGGGCUAGGGCAUACACCAAUGUACCAAACCCUAUCAAACUCCGAAUACCUUAUAUGUAAUCACAGCAGUCAGGCGGCGAGUGAUAAAAUCCGUCGUCAAGAGGGAAACAACCCAGACUACCAGCUAAGGUCCCUAAAUCUUACUUAAGUGGAAAACGAUGUGAAGUUACUUAAACAACCAGGAGGUUGGCUUAGAAGCAGCCAUCCUUUAAAGAAAGCGUAAUAGCUCACUGGUCUAGUGAUUUUGCGCGGAAAAUAUAACGGGGCUAAAGUAAGUACCGAAGCUGUAGACUUGCGCACAACUUAGAUUAUUUAAGUUUAGAAUAUGAGAAACUAAGUUAUGUUUAGUUAUAUUUUUACUGAUUUUUAUAGAGUAAAGAUAGAAAUAAAACUUAGUAAAAUCAGUAAAAAUAUUCUUAGGCUAAAGUUAAGUAGUUUAAGUUGUGUGCAAGUGGUAGGAGAGCGUUCUAUUUGCGUCGAAGGUAUACCGGUAAGGAGUGCUGGAGCGAAUAGAAGUGAGCAUGCAGGCAUGAGUAGCGAUAAUUAAUGUGAGAAUCAUUAACGCCGUAAACCCAAGGUUUCCUACGCGAUGCUCGUCAUCGUAGGGUUAGUCGGGUCCUAAGUCGAGUCCGAAAGGGGUAGACGAUGGCAAAUUGGUUAAUAUUCCAAUACCAACAUUAGUGUGCGAUGGAAGGACGCUUAGGGCUAAGGGGGCUAGCGGAUGGAAGUGCUAGUCUAAGGUCGUAGGAGGUUAUACAGGCAAAUCCGUAUAACAAUACUCCGAGAACUGAAAGGCUUUUUGAAGUCUUCGGAUGGAUAGAAGAACCCCUGAUGCCGUCGAGCCAAGAAAAGUUUCUAAGUUUAGCUAAUGUUGCCCGUACCGUAAACCGACACAGGUGGGUGGGAUGAGUAUUCUAAGGCGCGUGGAAGAACUCUCUUUAAGGAACUCUGCAAAAUAGCACCGUAUCUUCGGUAUAAGGUGUGGUUAGCUUUGUAUUAGGAUUUACUCCGAAAGCAAGGAAACUUACAACAAAGAGUCCCUCCCGACUGUUUACCAAAAACACAGCACUCUGCUAACUCGUAAGAGGAUGUAUAGGGUGUGACGCCUGCCCGGUGCUCGAAGGUUAAUUGAUGGGGUUAGCAUUAGCGAAGCUCUUGAUCGAAGCCCGAGUAAACGGCGGCCGUAACUAUAACGGUCCUAAGGUAGCGAAAUUCCUUGUCGGUUAAAUACCGACCUGCAUGAAUGGCGUAACGAGAUGGGAGCUGUCUCAAAGAGGGAUCCAGUGAAAUUGUAGUGGAGGUGAAAAUUCCUCCUACCCGCGGCAAGACGGAAAGACCCCGUGGACCUUUACUACAGCUUGACACUGCUACUUGGAUAAGAAUGUGCAGGAUAGGUGGGAGGCUUUGAGUAUAUGACGCCAGUUGUAUAUGAGCCAUUGUUGAGAUACCACUCUUUCUUAUUUGGGUAGCUAACCAGCUUGAGUUAUCCUCAAGUGGGACAAUGUCUGGUGGGUAGUUUGACUGGGGCGGUCGCCUCCCAAAUAAUAACGGAGGCUUACAAAGGUUGGCUCAGAACGGUUGGAAAUCGUUCGUAGAGUAUAAAGGUAUAAGCCAGCUUAACUGCAAGACAUACAAGUCAAGCAGAGACGAAAGUCGGUCUUAGUGAUCCGGUGGUUCUGUGUGGAAGGGCCAUCGCUCAAAGGAUAAAAGGUACCCCGGGGAUAACAGGCUGAUCUCCCCCAAGAGCUCACAUCGACGGGGAGGUUUGGCACCUCGAUGUCGGCUCAUCGCAUCCUGGGGCUGGAGCAGGUCCCAAGGGUAUGGCUGUUCGCCAUUUAAAGCGGUACGCGAGCUGGGUUCAGAACGUCGUGAGACAGUUCGGUCCCUAUCUGCCGUGGGCGUAAGAAGAUUGAAGAGAUUUGACCCUAGUACGAGAGGACCGGGUUGAACAAACCACUGGUGUAGCUGUUGUUCUGCCAAGAGCAUCGCAGCGUAGCUAAGUUUGGAAAGGAUAAACGCUGAAAGCAUCUAAGCGUGAAGCCAACUCUAAGAUGAAUCUUCUCUAAGCUCUCUAGAAGACUACUAGUUUGAUAGGCUGGGUGUGUAAUGGAUGAAAGUCCUUUAGCUGACCAGUACUAAUAGAGCGUUUGGCUUAUCUUUAAUAAAGCAU